RNAcentral lists this ribosomal RNA (460 nucleotides) under uncultured bacterium. Its description in RNAcentral is "partial 16S ribosomal RNA". It matches the Rfam family "Bacterial small subunit ribosomal RNA", at positions 338 to 795 of the family's 1533-position model. The record is from RNAcentral.
CCUACGGGUGGCAGCAGUGAGGAAUAUUGGUCAAUGGCCGGAAGGCUGAACCAGCCAUGCCGCGUGAAGGUCAGUGCCCUAUGGGCGUUAAACUUCUUUUGUGCGGGAGCAAUAAUGGUCACGUGUGGCCAGACGAGAGUACCGUACGAAUAAGCAUCGGCUAACUCCGUGCCAGCAGCCGCGGUAAUACGGGUGAUGCAAGCGUUAUCCGGAUUUAUUGGGUUUAAAGGGUGCGUAGGCUGGGAGGUAAGUCAGCGGUGAAAUGCCCCCGCUCAACGGGGUGAAGUGCCAUUGAUACUGCCUGGCUGGAAUGCGGAUGCCGUGGGAGGAAUGUGUGGUGUAGCGGUGAAAUGCAUAGAGAUCACACAGAACACCGAUUGCGAAGGCAUCUCACGAAUCCGCGAUUGACGCUGAUGCACGAAAGCGUGGGUAUCAAACAGGAUUAGAUACCCCAGUAGUC